RNAcentral lists this ribosomal RNA (487 nucleotides) under uncultured bacterium. Its description in RNAcentral is "bacterial SSU rRNA". It matches the Rfam family "Bacterial small subunit ribosomal RNA", at positions 28 to 517 of the family's 1533-position model. The record is from RNAcentral.
GAUGAACGCUAGCGGGAGGCCUAACACAUGCAAGCCGAGCGGUAGAGAUUCUUCGGAAUCUUGAGAGCGGCGUACGGGUGCGGAACACGUGUGCAACCUACCUUUAUCUGGAGGAUAGCCUUUCGAAAGGAAGAUUAAUACUCCAUAAUAUAUUGAUUGGCAUCAAUUGAUAUUGAAAGCUCCGGCGGAUAGAGAUGGGCACGCGCAAGAUUAGUUAGUUGGUGAGGUAACGGCUCACCAAGACGAUGAUCUUUAGGGGCCUGAGAGGGUGAUCCCCACACUGGUACUGAGACACGGACCAGACUCCUACGGGAGGCAGCAGUGAGGAAUAUUGGUCAAUGGGUGCAAGCCUGAACCAGCCAUCCCGCGUGAAGGACGACUGCCCUAUGGGUUGUAAACUUCUUUUGUAUAGGGAUAAACCUACCCUCGUGAGGGUAGCUGAAGGUACUAUACGAAUAAGCACCGGCUAACUCCGUGCCAGCAGCCG